GAUGAACGCUGGCGGCGUGCCUAAUACAUGCAAGUAGAACGCUGAAGGAGGAGCUUGCUCUUCUGGAUGAGUUGCGAACGGGUGAGUAACGCGUAGGUAACCUGCCUGGUAGCGGGGGAUAACUAUUGGAAACGAUAGCUAAUACCGCAUGACAACAGUUAUUGCAUGAUAACUGUUUAAAAGGGGCAACUGCUCCACUAACAGAUGGACCUGCGUUGUAUUAGCUAGUUGGUGAGGUAACGGCUCACCAAGGCGACGAUACAUAGCCGACCUGAGAGGGUGAUCGGCCACACUGGGACUGAGACACGGCCCAGACUCCUACGGGAGGCAGCAGUAGGGAAUCUUCGGCAAUGGACGGAAGUCUGACCGAGCAACGCCGCGUGAGUGAAGAAGGUUUUCGGAUCGUAAAGCUCUGUUGUAAGAGAAGAACGAGUGUGAGAGUGGAAAGUUCACACUGUGACGGUAUCUUACCAGAAAGGGACGGCUAACUACGUG
RNAcentral lists this ribosomal RNA (495 nucleotides) under uncultured bacterium. RNAcentral describes it as "partial 16S ribosomal RNA". It matches the Rfam family "Bacterial small subunit ribosomal RNA", at positions 28 to 507 of the family's 1533-position model. The record is from RNAcentral.